Papaver somniferum (opium poppy) is the source of this 1588-nucleotide long non-coding RNA. RefSeq lists it as uncharacterized. The transcript is spliced from 2 exons. Lineage: Eukaryota; Viridiplantae; Streptophyta; Magnoliopsida; Ranunculales; Papaveraceae. The record is from RefSeq and is a predicted model, not a curated record.
UCUUCUGUUUCUUCUCUUCUCCACUGUUCUUCUCUUGCUGCGAGUAUUUGAGAGAAAAUCUAGAGAUUUCGAUUGAGAGAAUCGAUUUACGAUGAGGAUUAGAUGCAGUAUAAGUAUCUACUGAUGUUGAUGAAGAGUUGAAAGUGGUGCUGAUGUUUUAUGAAGCAAAAUUAGGGUUUUGAGAUGAAUUCUGGAUCCGUAUGAAAUUGAUGGGUUAAUCGGGUUGUUGUAAUAUGAAGAUUAAGAGGGUUUAUGUUUAAUUGAAGCAGUACAGUCGUUCUGGUAGAUGAAUCAAGAGUUAGUUUUCUCAGAGAUUUAAUUAGGGUUCCAUAGGAAUUGCAGAAGAGAAUGGGAAGAUGAAAUUGAUGCUCAAGAGGAUUGAUUGAAGAUGGGUUGGUUCUUAAUUGAAGAAUGAUUGAAGAUGUAGAGUUAUUUGAGGAUUGAAUCAGGUGUUAGGGUUUCUGAAAAACCGUAAAGAGGGUGAAGAUUGAUGAACUUCGGUUGACUGGAAGUGAUAUACUGAUAAUGGAUUUGAAGUGUUUUGCUGAAUCAGGUUGAAGUAAAAAAGAAUAAAUUCCCAUGGCUUCAAUGGAACCAUUUGAGGUAAAUAUUCACCGAGAUGAUUUAUCUUAGCUAUUCAGUUUUAUUGAUACGUGCUUGAUAAUUGAAUUAAGAAUUAAGAUGUAUGUGUGAUGAAACUGGUAUUUCAAGUUGUUGUGUUGAUGAACACUAGGAUGUGCUUGUGAUGGACUGAGUUUAGAGAAAGGGAAUUAGAUGAAUGGUUGAGGAAGAUGUUUUCGAAGCUGCCGUGGUGCUAUAGAUUGCAGGGAAGGUUGGAACUCAUUCUUGAGCUGAGAAAAUACAGGCAAGAGUGAACUGUUGUCGAAGUUAAUGGAACUGGUAGCGAUGCGGCUGAAUGGUAGAUUCUGGUGUUGUGGUGUAGUGAAGUCAUAAGGGUUGUUGUGCAGAUGAAAUGAGAAAAUGGAUGAUCUGUGUAGUGAGAUGAACUUUGUGAAGUAUAAUCGAAUUGGUAGUGUUUGUGUGAGUUACAGAAUAUGGAAGAAGUUAUGGAGUUGAAAUUACAGGUCUGAGAAGGUACUGAAAUGUAUAUGAGUUGUGUUGUUGAGUGCGGUAGAAGAAUGAACUGUGUAUGUGUUAGUAUGAAAUGGAAAUGGGGUUUGUUGUUGAACUGCAGUUGCAGUUAUGAUGAUGUUGUUUGUGCAUUUGUAGGAUUGGAAUUGGGAAAUGGAGUUAGUAAUGGAACCAAGUUUGAAUCAGUCUGAGAUGUGUAGUAAGUGAUGAUGAUUGUAGGGAAUAGCUAAUAACUCCAGUGGAGGCUUGCUAAUGGUUUUGCAGUUUCAGAGACAGAUCAGAGUUGUGCAGCGGAAGCUUCGUGGCGUUGAGUCCGUUAGUUAGAUAGCUUCUGCUAUUUUUAUUUUUAUUUAUAAUUUAUUUGCAAAAUCAAAUGAUUAUUGUGUAUGUAUCAUUUGAGAGGAGUUCUUCUAUAUAUAUAUUUCAGAGCGGAGCUAGUUUUUGGGUUAAGCUUUGUAGCAGAUUUAUUAAUUGAAUGUUAAGUAGAUGUUUUAUA